RNAcentral lists this ribosomal RNA (411 nucleotides) under uncultured bacterium. RNAcentral describes it as "bacterial SSU rRNA". It matches the Rfam family "Bacterial small subunit ribosomal RNA", at positions 505 to 916 of the family's 1533-position model. The record is from RNAcentral.
GUGUCAGCAGCCGCGGUAAUACGUAGGGUGCGAGCGUUAAUCGGAAUUACUGGGCGUAAAGCGUGCGCAGGCGGGCUUUUAAGCCAGACGUGAAAUCCCCGGGCUUAACCUGGGAAUGGCGUUUGGGACUGGGAGUCUGGAGUGCGGCAGAGGAUACUGGAAUUCCUGGUGUAGCAGUGAAAUGCGUAGAUAUCAGGAGGAACACCGGUGGUGUAGACGGCUCACUGGACCGUAACUGACGCUGAGACACGAAAGCGUGGGUAGCAAACAGGAUUAGAUACCCUGGUAGUCCACGCCCUAAACGAUGUCAACUAGUUGUUGGGGAUUCAUUUCCUUAGUAACGUAGCUAACGCGUGAAGUUGACCGCCUGGGGAGUACGGUCGCAAGAUUAAAACUCAAAGGAAUUGACGG